GUGUGUGUGUGUGUGUGUGUGUGUGUGUGUGUGUGUGUGUGUGUGUGAGAGAGAGAGAGUAUACCACCCUGCCUUGUCUCAAUGCCUAGCCAGAAAUAACAAUGCAUUAUUCAUGUCCUGCCUUCUAGGCCACAGACACAAGUCAACGUUGUCUUUCUUAUUCAUUGAAAACGUCUCACGUGACGAAUCCUUAAACCAAUGGGUUCCCACUGUUCGUCUAUUCUCGUGUUGUUGUUCUGCAUUAUUUCCUGAGGAGAUGGAGAGGACAGGAAGGAGUGUUUCUGAGGAGAUGGAGGGGACAGGAAGGAGGGUUCCUGAGGAGAUGGAGGGGACAGGAAGGAGGGUUUCUGAGGAGGUGGAGGGGACAGGAAGGAGGGUUUCCAAAAAAGUGUUUAUCCCCAAGACGUUUGGUAAAAGUAUGAAUUAUAACGAGUGUAUCGGAUGGAAAAUACUGUAGGGACAAACAGUACUUAACUCACAAAAGCAAUGAUUUCCUCAUACUGAUAAAAAAAAAUAACAAAAUGUUUUGAAUGUUUUUUCUUCAUAUCUGAG
Molecule: long non-coding RNA, 552 nt
Organism: Oncorhynchus tshawytscha (Chinook salmon)
Lineage: Eukaryota; Metazoa; Chordata; Actinopteri; Salmoniformes; Salmonidae
Source: Ensembl